UACGGAGGGUGCAAGCGUUAUCCGGAUUCACUGGGUUUAAAGGGUGCGUAGGUGGGCAAGUAAGUCAGUGGUGAAAUCUCCGGGCUUAACCCGGAAACUGCCAUUGAUACUAUUUGUCUUGAAUACUGUGGAGGUCAGCGGAAUAUGUCAUGUAGCGGUGAAAUGCUUAGAUAUGACAUAGAACACCAAUUGCGAAGGCAGCUCGUUACACGAAGAUUGACUCUGAGGCACGAAAGCGUGGGGAUCAAACAGG
This 253-nucleotide ribosomal RNA is filed under the name uncultured bacterium. Its description in RNAcentral is "partial 16S ribosomal RNA". It matches the Rfam family "Bacterial small subunit ribosomal RNA", at positions 524 to 776 of the family's 1533-position model. The record is from RNAcentral.